CCUCACCUCGUUUGCGAUCCUGAUCGCGUC
This 30-nucleotide small RNA is filed under the name Bombyx mori (domestic silkworm). RNAcentral describes it as "piRNA piR-bmo-2224992". The record is from RNAcentral. Lineage: Eukaryota; Metazoa; Arthropoda; Insecta; Lepidoptera; Bombycidae.